RNAcentral lists this ribosomal RNA (255 nucleotides) under uncultured bacterium. RNAcentral describes it as "partial 16S ribosomal RNA". It matches the Rfam family "Bacterial small subunit ribosomal RNA", at positions 524 to 776 of the family's 1533-position model. The record is from RNAcentral.
UACAGAGGGUGCAAGCGUUAAUCGGAAUGACUGGGCGUAAAGCGCAUGUAGGUGGAUGAGUAAGUUUGAUGUGAAAUCCCUGGGCUUAACCUGGGAAUGGCGUUGAAGACUGUUCGUCUAGAGUUAGACAGAGGGUCGUGGAAUUUCCGGUGUAGCAGUGAAAUGCGUAGAGAUCCGGAAGAACACCGGUGGCGAAGGCGGUUAGCUGGGCAGUUGCUGACACUGAGGCGCGACGAGCGUGGGGGAGCAAACAGG